CAAUUUACUCAUACGACAGAUGAUCAGAUUUUUCUACAUCAGUUCACAAAGAGAUUUGUAAAGUGAAAAAACAACUCUGAAGUGUCAACAAAGAACAAUACUUACAAACCACACCUCUCAACUAGAUCUCCAAUACACGUCUUCACAAGAAGCUUUCUUGACUGCAUUGACAGGAAGCCUGUGGUUUCGUAUUCCUGAAGAAUCUGUGGAGCUUUUUUCAUGAGUAGUGACUGUAAGGGCUGACUCUCCUCUCCCCUAUUAGUAUGGGGCUGUGGAGGAUAAAAGUUAUUGCUGCAGUAUGUUUAAUAUCAUCACAAUAAUCUUGAAUCUAAGAACUAUAAAGAAAAAGUUGAAUGAGUUGGUGAUUAAAUUAGAAAAUGUUUUAACCAGUAAAAUUACAAAUAAAUUUACUCUGUAAACAUGCUGAAACAUGAAAUCCUGAUUUUAAAUGAACAUGAGAACAGUAUAAAAAUAAAUACAUUUAUCCAACUCAAACACUACCUGGUUUUGAUUCAUCUCCUCAAGAGAAGCUUCCCUCCAGUUGACAGGAACACAUGGAAUCUGUCAAAGUCCUUCAUUUCCACAUUGGUGUCAACAUCAGUGUACUCCAAGAAGUCAGAGUUAUACUUUAAUAUCCUGUCCAAAGAACAGCCAGAUUGCUUGGCAAGAUUUUGUUCAAUGAGAUUAUUAAUACUUGAAACAUGAAGAAUUUUUUUAGAAGUCUCUUUUCCAUUUUGAAAAGUUGUUACAAGGACUUUGACAGAUUCCAGAUUGUCAAAUGAGAACUGAAAAAGUGAAUAAACAAAAAUAAUACAAUUAGAACAUUUUCGUCUAGAUUACAGACAUGAAAAAAUGCUUGUUUGUUAGCUUUUGAAUUUAACACCAUCAUGAUCCAAAAUUGCACACAAGACAAACUAAAUUUGUUGAACUGCAGCCAUCUUAAGAAUAAUGUUAAACAGAAAAGUUGUUUCCUACGCUAAUACCAUACUAAUUCGUUCCCACGACAUAGGUAUAACGUGCGCAUGAAAUACUAAAUCAUAAUCUUCCUAUACAGCGCACUUUCUGAAACAUAGGGAGGAACAAAACAACAACUGGAUGAAGAGGGAUAGUCUGGUCGAGUUUCAUUUUAGGCUGGGGAGAAGCUAUAAAGAGAUUGGGAAAAGUCUGGCAUCUUAUUAGUGAGAGACCAUUAAAUAGAAUAUUAAAAGCCAGGUGUUAACCCUUCCUGCUUCUGUUACCUGACCGUGGUCGGGAAACACAAGGGAGAUACUUCCUCCAUGGCCGAAAUGGUUGUUCACUUCGGGGUGUAAUUUUUGUACUCCCUGUACUUGCGUGUCAAAGGGGGUGAGACUUCUAUAAUAAUAAAAGCAGUGGAGUUUUUAAUAUCUGUACUGCACACUGAUUACACGUUAAAUGUACCGUGGCCAGCUGAACUUACUCUCCGGUCGCUGUCGUGCAUAGGCUAGUGCCAAAACAUACAACCGCGCCAACACUCUUCUUCUCUCUCUGCACUCUUCUUCGUGGUCCGAAUAUAACAGCGCACAUCGCCACCGCAAAUAUGCACACGUACACAUUUACACACCUACUGUACACUGAGCUCCAUCACUUAUGAGUUACACAUCUAAUGUAACACAGGUCACUUGAUGCCUACUUAGUAUUUCGAGGAAACUGAUUAGUAUUUCGUGCGCUCGCUAUAUACAUAUAUAUUCCCCCAUGUCAGUUCCCAGGCGCCAUAGACAUCUAUAAAAAAUAUUUAAGUUUCAUAUAAAACUUCAACCAUCUCCUUUUUACAUUAAAUAAUUUUAACAUCUUACCUCUUCAAUUAACUUUGGCCAAAAAAAGACAACUAUAGCAAACCAUACCGAUAAAAUGGUAUUUUAGAAGCCUUGCAACGAGAAUGAGCUAGCUAAAUUUGACAUGAAACCCAGCAUAACUACAUGCUACCCCGUCGUAGCAACAAAAAAUACCAUAACACAUUUUCAACUAUUGAUUCGGCAAAUUCCAAUAAGACUAACUUGUUACCACUGCGUUAAAACAAAUAAAACGUACUUACCGAAGUGACUGUUACAGAAGAUGCAGCCUCCAUCUUUGUCUCCUUUGUUAAUUUAGACCAUAAGGCGGGAAAGUCUUCCUCCAACUAGAACACAAACCAACACAAAUAUGUGUUGAAAUAUACAACACAUCGUGUGUUAUACUUUUGAUGCCAUUUUAACACAUCGUGUGUUAAAAUUAACGCAUAAUGUGCUUUAAAUGUAAUAACACACAUUCUGUGUUAUUUGUUUUAACACAUCUCUUAUAAGAGUGUACAUGUUUGUGUUUGUUAUGGCUUGUGUCCAUUUUGACCAUUUCCAAUCAUCAUCACAGGAUUACAAUUAACUGUAUAUAAGGAACUCAUUUAGAGUUUUGUUUUUUAUAUAUAAAACGUUUUUUAUUGUUUUUUUUUUCUUCAUCAGCAUUUUCAUUUAUUCCUAUUUAAAGCCUUGUUUUUAUGAGAUGCUAAACAGUUAUUUUUUUCUAGCCUGCUUUAGAAAUGGUGGUUUUUCAGCAAACAAUGAAGAAACAAACUUUGAUUUGAUCAAAUUUAAUAAGUUACAUGAUGUUAAAAAGUCAAGCUUUCAGCUUAAAUGUUAUAGAGCCUCUGGACAUCAAGUUAAGAGUUAAAAGUAAUGAGUUGUCAUAACCAAUGACCAGUUACACAAAGCCUUGUUAAAAACCUUAGCCUACAAAAGUUAGCAUUUAAAACUGAAAUGUAGCUCAUGAAAACAUUAUCAGUGUGAACCACUUAUCUUGUAAUAAAACCUGGGAAAAGCUCCUAUUAUUGUUGUCAAUGUGUAUGUAUUUAAAUCCAAUUUAUGCACUGCUCUUUAUCUUUCUAGCUACAUUAUGUUGGUCUAUGUUUAUUUGUUUAGUUGAUUUUGUUAAAGACUGGUUGAACUUAACCUAUGUGCCUGUGUGUUUAAAGAAAAACAGAAGGGGUGUGAACACUUUGUGGCAUUGUGGGUAUUUUAAACCAAACAGUAGAGAAGUCGCAUUAUCAAAAAUACAUUCAUGAUGUUACAUAGAAAGUCAUUUACUUGAAUAUUGACAUGUAAGGUCACACAGCUGAAGCUUUCUUCUUUAAUCUUUAAUCUUUCUAUAUUAUUCAGUAACAUUUGUGCUUGUUAAUAUUAUUUUGUUUGUAUUUUGCUAAAUCCACUAAGAUCUGGUUUUGCUCUCACCACCAGUGCUGCCUUAACUUUCAACAACUGCUUCAAGAUCGCCGUGCCAAAUAGGAGGAAAAGCAACUACUGAAUGAAGCGAACCACCAGCUGGUCGCCUUGACAACCGCAGCUGAAUUGUGUUUGUUUUUUUUCUCUGUUUGACACCAGUUUGGUUUUAAGUGAAAGCAUUUUUACAGAAAUGUACUUCAUAUUAACAAGCUGCUGGAUAAACCUCAAAUACAUUAUUCCGACAUGAACAAACCUUUUUUAAAGGGAUGGCGGAAUAAUUAAAUAAUAGCAAACACCCAGGAUGGGAUUUAAACCCAAGACCUUCAUACUGCAAGGCAGCUAUGCUAUCAACUGCACCACCAUGCAGCCCUUAGGCCAGUUAGAAUUCUUCUGUCGUGUUUUUAGCUUUAAACAGUGUAAGAGAAAACCUGUAUACAUCAUGAGAUUGCUUAUAACUUUAACUUCUAACAAAACAAGAGGAAUCUGUAAAGUAACUCAUUAGAACAGUCCUGUCACUCAAAAUAAUCCAUUCAGUAAUUUAGUAAAGUUACCUAAAUUACAUUCUGUGCUUUAACUUAACACCCAAAACCUAAAUUAAAGCUGAAAACAAAUUCAGUUGUUUUUUCCAACAUGAAACAUGUGUAGGAACCAUAUGAGGGAAUUUGGGCUGCAUCUUGUACGUUUAUUUUGUCAUCUUGUUGUUUUUACAAAACCCCAAAGAAAGUUCACAGUCAAACUGUUGGUCAUUAAUUAAAAGAAAUUCACUUUAAGGCAGCAUUUGUUUUCCACAUCACACAACAGAUCUAUAAUUUGAAACAAAAAUAUGUAAAACAAGUCAAGUUAGUUUCUUUAAGCUCUGAAUAUAAAGUUUAUCAAAUCAGAUCCAGGCCUCUUUUUAUUGACAUGAAUAUAUAACCUGAGACUAGACAGAAUUAUGCUGAUAUAAAACACAUUUAGAGACAAAGAAAUUAGAAUAUAAACAUUUUUGAUUUUGGGAUUCAGGAUUAUUUAUCAGCUUCUUAAUGUCAGAUUGUACAUCAGACUAAAGCACUUUUCCUACACGUACUGAAGUCCUCAUGAAAUUGAAUGUUCUCUUUACUCAUUGAAAUGAACUGCUUAAAAACA
This is a long non-coding RNA of Girardinichthys multiradiatus, 4334 nucleotides long. RefSeq lists it as uncharacterized. The transcript is spliced from 2 exons. NCBI's taxonomy places the organism in Eukaryota, Metazoa, Chordata, Actinopteri, Cyprinodontiformes, Goodeidae. The record is from RefSeq and is a predicted model, not a curated record.